UAGAAACUAACMAGGAUUCCUUUAGUAGCGGCGAGCGAAGCGGGAAGAGCCCAUCGCCGAAUCCCCGGGGGCGCGAGUCCUCGAGGGAAAUGUGGCGUGAGGAAGUCCGUUGCCGCGGCCGCGGCGGCGCCGAGGUCCUUCUGAUCGAGGCCUCUUCCGUCCCACGGCGGGUGUCAGGCCCCUGCGGGCGCCGUCCGGUCGCGGAACCAAGGCUUCCAGGAGUCGGGUUGUUUUGUAGCGCAGCCCAAAGGCGGGUGGUAAACUCCAUCCAAGGCUAAAUACCGGCACGAGACCGAUAGAGCACAAGUACCRUGAGGGAAAGUA
This 324-nucleotide ribosomal RNA is filed under the name Echinaster guyanensis. RNAcentral's name for it is "eukaryotic LSU rRNA". It matches the Rfam family "Eukaryotic large subunit ribosomal RNA", at positions 59 to 365 of the family's 3401-position model. Lineage: Eukaryota; Metazoa; Echinodermata; Asteroidea; Spinulosida; Echinasteridae. The record is from RNAcentral.